RNAcentral lists this long non-coding RNA (327 nucleotides) under Mus spicilegus (steppe mouse). RNAcentral's name for it is "lncRNA (ENSMSIG00000002925.1)". Lineage: Eukaryota; Metazoa; Chordata; Mammalia; Rodentia; Muridae. The record is from RNAcentral.
AAAGCCUUUCCUCGCCUCCUUUUGCUGCUGUUGCUUUUGUUUCAGGAGCCUUGGUGGCUGCCUUUUCUUCCAUGAUAGCUCAUAAAAACUGCAUGUAUUUGACAACAAGACUACUUCCCUGAAGUUUGAAGAGAGGACAUCAAAAUUAUGAAUGUCUAAUCCUAAAUGUGGCACCGGCUUCAUAAUGGCAUAAGGAAGUCACAUGUUACUCAAUCCAUUGGGACUUAAGGAUGGCAGCGUAUGCGAGAGAUGCUGGAUUUAAUGUGGACGUUGGAAGACAGGCAGAUGGCUGGGAGGCAGAUGAAAAGGGCAGUGCAUACCCAAGGU